AGAGUUUGAUCAUGGCUCAGAUUGAACGCUGGCGGCAUGCUUUACACAUGCAAGUCGAACGGUAACAGGCCGCAAGGUGCUGACGAGUGGCGAACGGGUGAGUAAUGUAUCGGAACGUGCCCAGUCGUGGGGGAUAACGCAGCGAAAGCUGCGCUAAUACCGCAUACGAUCUAUGGAUGAAAGCGGGGGACCGUAAGGCCUCGCGCGAUUGGAGCGGCCGAUAUCAGAUUAGGUAGUUGGUGGGGUAAAGGCUCACCAAGCCAACGAUCUGUAGCUGGUCUGAGAGGACGACCAGCCACACUGGGACUGAGACACGGCCCAGACUCCUACGGGAGGCAGCAGUGGGGAAUUUUGGACAAUGGGCGCAAGCCUGAUCCAGCAAUGCCGCGUGCAGGAAGAAGGCCUUCGGGUUGUAAACUGCUUUUGUACGGAACGAAACGGUCCUGGUUAAUACCUGGGGCUAAUGACGGUACCGUAAGAAUAAGCACCGGCUAACUACGUGCCAGCAGCCGCGGUAAUACGUAGGGUGCAAGCGUUAAUCGGAAUUACUGGGCGUAAAGCGUGCGCAGGCGGUUUUGUAAGACAGGCGUGAAAUCCCCGGGCUUAACCUGGGAAUGGCGCUUGUGACUGCAAAGCUGGAGUGCGGCAGAGGGGGAUGGAAUUCCGCGUGUAGCAGUGAAAUGCGUAGAUAUGCGGAGGA
This 700-nucleotide ribosomal RNA is filed under the name uncultured bacterium. RNAcentral's name for it is "bacterial SSU rRNA". It matches the Rfam family "Bacterial small subunit ribosomal RNA", at positions 8 to 705 of the family's 1533-position model. The record is from RNAcentral.